AACGAACGCUGGCGGCAUGCCUAACACAUGCAAGUCGAACGAGACCUUCGGGUCUAGUGGCGCACGGGUGCGUAACGCGUGGGAACCUGCCCUUAGGUUCGGAAUAACUCCCCGAAAGGGGUGCUAAUACCGGAUAAUGUCUUCGGACCAAAGGUUUAUCGCCUUUGGAUGGGCCCGCGUUGGAUUAGCUAGUUGGUAGGGUAAAAGCCUACCAAGGCGACGAUCCAUAGCUGGUCUGAGAGGAUGAUCAGCCACACUGGGACUGAGACACGGCCCAGACUCCUGCGGAAGGCGGCAGUGGGGAAUAUUGGACAAUGGGCGGAAGCCUGAUCCAGCAAUGCCGCGUGAGUGAUGAAGGCCUUAGGGUUGUAAAGCUCUUUUACCCGGGAUGAUAAUGACAGUACCGGGAGAAUAAGCUCCGGCUAACUCCGUG
RNAcentral lists this ribosomal RNA (433 nucleotides) under uncultured bacterium. Its description in RNAcentral is "partial 16S ribosomal RNA". It matches the Rfam family "Bacterial small subunit ribosomal RNA", at positions 29 to 507 of the family's 1533-position model. The record is from RNAcentral.